This 382-nucleotide unclassified non-coding RNA is filed under the name Hevea brasiliensis (rubber tree). Lineage: Eukaryota; Viridiplantae; Streptophyta; Magnoliopsida; Malpighiales; Euphorbiaceae. The record is from RNAcentral.
GUGUAAGUCUUGCUCUUGUUAGUGUAUCAGAGCUUGAAACUUAGUUAUGCAGAAAUUUUCAAUAAUUUUAAUAUUACAUUUACGUAACUAAGUUAGUUAAAAAUAUAAAAUGCUUUAUAAAUUAUUUUCUGCAAGUAGUCUGUUACUCUUGAAUUUCUCACAUAGUUAUUAAAGGUACAAGGUGCAUUAAGGUGCAAACAGGUUUUGGAGCCUUGGCGCAAGGCUCAGGCACGCCUAAGUGACAUGAGUGGCAAAGGAAAUAAAAUUAGAUAAGUAAUGACAUGAGUGGAAAAAAAAUAAAUUAGAUAAGUAAUCUUCUAUAAGUAAACUCAUGUUAAUAACAUAAAUCAUUUAGGAUCUAGCACCAAUGUUUUUAAAAUCC